Molecule: long non-coding RNA, 702 nt
Organism: Hyla sarda
Lineage: Eukaryota; Metazoa; Chordata; Amphibia; Anura; Hylidae
Exons: 3
Source: RefSeq, a predicted model, not a curated record
GUAACAACUUUGUGAGGAUGCCUAUGGAGGCCCUAGACAAGCUGCUGGACAUUCUUGGUCCACACCUGCGUUAUCAGGACACAGUGAUGCGUCAAGCAAUCUCACCCACAGCCCGUUUGUUGAUCACAUUGUGGAUUUUUUUCAGCGUGAAUUCCUCUAGAAUUACUACGUGUGAACGCACCCUUAGAAGGUGACUGUGACUGCGGGGAAACUGAGGCGAGUGUGUCAAGUUACAAGAAGGGCACUAUAAAUUGUUAUCAAGGUGGUACCGCACACCAGAGAUGUUAUAUCACUGGGGCUUAUCUACCUCAAAAAUGUGCUGGAGAUGUCAUAAGAAUACAGGUUGGUAUGCUUCCACAUAUUUGGUGGACGUGCAAAGACAUUGCGGAGUACUGGAGGGAUGUCAGCUUCCAUAUCAACAAAAUCUUGGGUAAGAAAAUUACUCGUACAGCAACUCUGGUACUAUUGGGAUUGCCGAAUCCAAACUGUCCCAUGCAUAGGCGAUCACUUCUGGCACAUCUGUUAUCGGUGGCCAAAGCCUUGAUUCCCAUGCUGUGGAUGCAGACCAACACUUGGCAAUGGUUACAAAAAGUAGCUUAAAUUUGUCGUAUGGAGGAACUUUGGAGUUUAGAAAAAUGUGGUCACUAUGGUUGGCCUACAGGGACUCAGUAGUCAUCUAGAGGAGGAGGACCAUGGGGGCGA